RNAcentral lists this transfer RNA (76 nucleotides) under Staphylococcus aureus. RNAcentral's name for it is "tRNA-Thr-TGT". Lineage: Bacteria; Bacillati; Bacillota; Bacilli; Caryophanales; Staphylococcaceae. The record is from RNAcentral.
AGACAUUGAGAUAUCUUAUAACAAAAAUUGCUAUAUUAGUAUAAUUUAUCUUAAUCAGCUAUAAAAGUACUUUAAA